This 1988-nucleotide long non-coding RNA is filed under the name Pelobates cultripes (western spadefoot toad). Lineage: Eukaryota; Metazoa; Chordata; Amphibia; Anura; Pelobatidae. The record is from RNAcentral.
AUCGGAUAGGACAAUAUCAUUUUAAACAAACGAAUAAGACCACAUCUGGGGAUAUAAAGACAAAGAGGUUAAAUGGAUGGAUUACUUUGAUUGAAAAAGCCUGCGAAAGGGGUGAAACGCGUCUCGAAUAGGUCGGCAAGUGCAAGGACUUUUUAUUACUGUUUUUACAUUUAUUUAAUGUUAUUUUAUCUAUUUUUUUUAAUAAAUAAGAUCAUCUGGAUCUUUUGAAUAUACCGUGCUGCUGCAUCCAUCCAUCCCUAAAGAAGGCUUACCCCCCUUAGUGGGUAACAAGCGAUCUUUCCUAGAGCCAGGCUUAAUAGGCUCUGGAUCAGGUGAGCAAUAUACCUAUUAAUAUUUGUGUGCUUGACCUUUUGCCAAUACAUGCUUCACUAGGAAGAUAUCCUUCCCUAUGUGCUUUAUCUCUUUGAGCUAUCAAGAAAGAAUGAUAAAGAAGAAAGGUGUUCCCUUAUGUGACAGAACCGCUGGCACCCCAACCGGGUACCUUCCGCCAACGGAUGCUCCUAGUGCUUUCCGAGGACUCCAAGCACUCUGCCUGACACCAUAACCACUGCAGACCCCACGAACCGCCGCAGCUUGGUUGGGGUCUCGCCGUCUCCACCCACUCUGGACCCAGGACCAGGUUCCAGCUUCCAGCAGGUCGACCUCUCUCCGAAUUCCAGAGAGCAGGAACAGGAACAAGCUCUUAGCAGAGCUUAGUGAUUAUACCCUGGGGAGUAUAGUGAUUAUAGCAAUCCCCAGAGUGUAGUUUCUCCAAUCCCCCAAACAUGAGCCGAAACUUCAUGAAGGUACAAGAUGAUCUGACUCCAAUGAGCGUUUAUUACUCCUUAUAUACAAGUUUUCAGGUCAGAGGCACACCCCCUGGACCUGGUGGUAAACUGUGACAAAAGGGACACAAACCAAUGGGAACACUAAUUAACAUAAUAACACUCUCACAUACACAAUGAAACCCCUCCUCUCCAUCCUGGAGAUAAUUGGCUUAAGGCACUGCAGUAAACUCAAUUAUCUCCAGGUACAGAAAAUAUCUACAUUUUACACUAACAGCAAAAAUACGUAAAAGUACAUAAAAAUACAUAAUUCUUAUUUUAUUACACAGAACCCCCACAUUUAACCUAUCCCCAGAUAGCUCGGAUCUGAGCGCCCAAUCUAGGCGAACAGCGCUCAGAUCCCAUGAACAGAGUAGAUUUUCCACGGGGUAAAGCAUAGCAAGGGCUGAUGAGAAACCAAGGAGGGACAUAAACAGUCAGUUCCAACUGGUUUGGCAGUGUGCCUGGGACAACGCCCUGCUGGAGAACAAUAGACAGGAAACGGGGGAGGGGAAGAAACACACCUUCCCAUGGAUUCAAAUGGGAAGAAACUGUCUUUAGAAGCCAAUAAGCCCCAAAUAGUCUUUUUAAAUGGCAAUACACCCCAGGGCCAUAGUCAUGAGGAAGGAGGCUGGCAAUCAGGCUCCUCCAAAAGCCGGGGGCAAAGGGCAGCUUGUCACCUAACAAUCCAGGGACAAAAGGCAUUUCAUCACACCUUACAUACACCACAGUGAAUGUGAUCCAAGCCAGUCCUAUAGUUGGCUCUUUAUUUGUGAGUUUAAAUUGCAACUGUCUACUCACUUUGUACACCUUAUAUAACAUACUUCACCAUUGGAUAUUUUUGUCUUUUUUCUUUCAUGUAUACCAUUGUACUGGGAAUAUAUAAACCCCUACUUAGGGCUAAGUACAUUUAGCGCUCCACUUUUAAAGGUCUUUCUAGUGGGUUUUUCUCUUUGAUUUACCCCUUUAAACAAUACUUUAUACUACCCUCUUUUUAUACCUAUUGCCCACUAAUGCAUCUUUCUUAAUGGUAACAUUUCCUUACCGCCCACCAGUGCUGCAGUACCUCAAAUUUUUUAGCACAAGUGAGAAAUAAUUUUUAGAAGGGAAGGUUUUUUUAAAAAAAUAAAAAAUAUUUACUUAAAUUUAUCUUUUUAUUUCUAC